This 1459-nucleotide long non-coding RNA is filed under the name Pongo abelii (Sumatran orangutan). RNAcentral describes it as "lincRNA". The record is from RNAcentral. Lineage: Eukaryota; Metazoa; Chordata; Mammalia; Primates; Hominidae.
GCACUGCCAGAAUGGACUAAUACACUAUGUGAAGACAAAGGGGAUGUCUGCAAGCCAGGACGAGUGCGUCUACCAGCAACUGAGUUCUGCUGGACUUUGAUCUAGGACACCCAGCCUCCAGAAUGGAAUGUGCCAUAUAUGGAGACCUGCAUGGAAAGGAACUGAGGAUGCUCUCUGACUAAAAGCUAGAAGGAACUGAGACCCUCAGUCAACAGUCUACAAGACACUGAAUCUUGCCAGCAGCCAUACAGUGAGCUUGAAAGCAGAUCUAUCCUCAGCUGAACCUUCAGAUGAGACCGCAGCCUAAGCAGACACCUUGGUCGCAGCCAUGUGAGACAACCUGAAACAGAGGGCACAGCUAAGCCUCAGCCAGGAUCAUCACCCUCUGAGGAAACUGUGAGAAAGCAAAUGUCAUUUUAGGCUAUUUAAUUUUGGAGGUAGUUUGUUACACAACAAUAAAUAACUAUUAUAAUUAUCUUGAGGAUUUCCUGGGGAGAAUAAAUGGAAUUGCAUAUAUAGGUCAUCAUAUGCAGAAUACUGGUACCUCAGAGAUGUUCACCCCAGAGAUGUUGUAGGAACCUGUGAAUAUAUUACCUUACAUGGCAAAGUUUUCCUGGAUGGUUUAAGUUUAAGAUGGAAAAGUUUAACUGGAUUAUCCCGUGGGUCCAAUCUAAUAACAAGAGUCCUUAAAAAUGGAGAAUAUUUUUUGGUCAUGAUCAGAGAGACAUGUGAUGAUGGAAGAAGUGUCAGAGAUGCAAUGUGAGCGGACUAAAACUGCUGUUGCUGACUUUAAAGAUGGAGAGAGGGGAACCCGAGUCAAGGAAUGCAAAUGGCCUCUGGAAGCUGGAAAAGGCAAGAAACGGAUUCUCCUUUAGAGCCUCUGGAAAAAAAUGCAGUUAUGCUGACACCUUGAUUUUACCUCAGUGAGACCAAUAAUGGAGUAUGACCUUCGGAGCUGAAUAAAAUUAUACAUACACAUCUUAAUUUCUUGGAAUUUGAUUACUUCUUCUGCUUUGAAAUUAGACCAAGUUUAGCCUGCCUUUGCUAUUUUGGCAUAUCUCCAAUUCUUCGUGAUUUUCUCAUAGUGUUGCCUCCAUAUGAUGCAAAAUAUCCAAACUAGCCCUGACAUGAAAGCUUAACUGAAAGUAUCCAACAGUGGCGCAAAGGCCACAUAAGGACAGUAAGAAGGCAGUCAUCUGCAAGCCAGGAAGAAAGGUCUCACCAGAUACCAACCCUGCCAGCAAGUUGAUCUUGGACUUCCAGCCUCCAAAACUGGCCUUCUACUCACAUGGGCUUCCGUGCACCUGCUUCAGGAGACAGCAACACUUGCGCCCGCACUGCGGCAGGCUCCCAUCACCUGGUGGAUAUGCCGUGCUGAGUCUCAUCACACCUUAGUGAAGGAACACAUGGACCCAUAUGUUAGCGGAUGUGUUUACAUCAUUUUAUACAGAAAGGGGAA